RNAcentral lists this ribosomal RNA (253 nucleotides) under uncultured bacterium. RNAcentral's name for it is "partial 16S ribosomal RNA". It matches the Rfam family "Bacterial small subunit ribosomal RNA", at positions 524 to 776 of the family's 1533-position model. The record is from RNAcentral.
CACGUAGGGUGCUAGCGUUGCUCGGAAUCACUGGGCGUAAAGGGUGCGUAGGCGGGUCUUUAAGUCAGAGGUGAAAUCCUGGAGCUCAACUCCAGAACUGCCUUUGAUACUGAAGAUCUUGAGUUCGGGAGAGGUGAGUGGAACUGCGAGUGUAGAGGUGAAAUUCGUAGAUAUUCGCAAGAACACCAGUGGCGAAGGCGGCUCACUGGCCCGAUACUGACGCUGAGGCACGAAAGCAUGGGGAGCAAAAGGG